CUGCAGCCUGCGGAGCCGCUCGUCGUCCGCCCGCUGCUCAUCUCUGCCGCUUUGCGUACUAACUGCUAAUGGUUACCACCGUUCAGCCGGUGGCCCUCAAAGUGAGCAGGCCUCGGUACCAUUUAGAAGACUGGUUAAGAGAGACGUCCGGGUCCCAGCCUCGGAGCUUCUCAGUGAAACUGAGGCGCCGACUGGGGCUUUGCCUUUCUAUCAAGUUCCCAGGUGACGCCGAUGCUGCUGGUCUGGGAAAUCACACGUUGAGAACCACUGUGUUAAGCACCGGCUGGAGCCUGACGUUCGGCCAAGUCCUUCCCAUACCUUAGCUCCGUGAUUUCCCUGUAAGAUCCCCGGCAGAUGGUGGCGGUGACAUCUGAAUCCAGGCCUCUUUCUCUUCAAAGCCGACCGACCGUCUUCCACUAGCAUUUAAUACUGCGCAGUGCACAUAUGGAAUCCAAGAGCUGUUUGUGGAAAUAACUGAUGAAGGAAUAGGCUCUCAGAUUCCUAGAAAAGGAACAUGGGAAUGAAGUGUCCCAAACUGAGUGUGAGGUUGCAUGAUUCCAAUUGCAUCACCAGGGAGAUGGAAAGCCUUGGUUAUACAAGUGACGUGGAUUGACCUGGGUUCUAGAACUGUACUCUUUAAAAUGCUGGCCGGAAAUAUCAAGAAUAUAAGUAAUAAUAAAUGUUGGUGAGGAUGUCGGGAAGGGUAGGCACAUACACAGUUGAUGGGACUGCAAAUUGGUGCAACCACUCUGGAAAGUAGUAUGGAGUUCCUCAAAAAAACUAGGAAUGGAACAAGCCUUUGACCCAGCUAUCCCACUCCUUGGUGUAUAUCCAAAGGAUUUAAAAUCAACAUAUUACAGUGACACAGCCAUGUCAACGUUUAUGGCACCUCAAUUACAAUUGAUAAGCUAUGGAACCAACCUAAGUGCCCUUCAAGAGAUGAGUAGAUAAAGCAAAUGUGGUCUACGUACACAAUGCAGCAUUAUUCAGCCAUAAAGAAGAAUGACUUUAAGACAUUUCCUAGUAAAUGGAUAGAUCUGGAGACUAUCAUGCUUAGUAGAAUCAGAC
This 1068-nucleotide long non-coding RNA is filed under the name Marmota monax (woodchuck). Lineage: Eukaryota; Metazoa; Chordata; Mammalia; Rodentia; Sciuridae. The record is from RNAcentral.